AAAAGAAACCAACAGGGAUUGCCUUAGUAACGGCGAGUGAAGCGGCAACAGCUCAAAUUUGAAAUCUGGCCCUCGGGUCCGAAUUGUAAUUUGUAGAGGAUGAUUUUGGUGCGGUAUCUUCCGAGUUCCUUGGAACAGGACGCCUUAGAGGGUGAGAGCCCCGUACGGUUGAAUGCCUAGCCUCUGUAAAUCUCCUUCGACGAGUCGAGUAGUUUGGGAAUGCUGCUCUAAAUGGGAGGUAAAUUUCUUCUAAAGCUAAAUAUUGGCCAGAGACCGAUAGCGCACAAGUAGAGUGAUCGAAAGAUGAAAAGCACUUUGAAAAGAGGGUUAAAUAGCACGUGAAAUUGUUGAAAGGGAAGGAUUUGUGACCAGACUUUUUCUGGGCGGAUCAUCCGGGGUUCUCUCCGGUGCACUUUGCCCAGUAAAGGCCAGCAUCGAUUUUCGGCGGCGGAUAAAAGCAGUGGGAAUGUGGCUCCCUACGGGGAGUGUUAUAGCCCAUUGUAUAAUACGCUGCUGGGGAUCGAGGUACGCGCUUCUGCAAGGAUGCUGGCGUAAUGGUUAUCAAUCACCCGUCUUGAAACACGGACCAAGGAGUCGAACAUUUAUGCGAGUGUUUGGGUGUUAAACCCUCACGCGUAAUGAAAGUGAACGGAGGUGAGAGCCCGUACGGGUGCAUCAUCGACCGAUCCUGAAGUUUUCGGAUGGAUUUGAGUAAGAGCAUAACUGUUCGGACCCGAAAGAUGGUGAACUAUGCGUGGAUAGGGUGAAGCCAGAGGAAACUCUGGUGGAGGCUCGCAGCGGUUCUGACGUGCAAAUCGAUCGUCAAAUCUGCGCAUGGGGGCGAAAGACUAAUCGAACCAUCUAGUAGCUGGUUACCGCCGAA
RNAcentral lists this ribosomal RNA (883 nucleotides) under Pestalotiopsis papuana. RNAcentral's name for it is "LSU rRNA". It matches the Rfam family "Eukaryotic large subunit ribosomal RNA", at positions 57 to 965 of the family's 3401-position model. The record is from RNAcentral. Lineage: Eukaryota; Fungi; Ascomycota; Sordariomycetes; Amphisphaeriales; Sporocadaceae.